Molecule: ribosomal RNA, 285 nt
Filed under: Salmonella enterica
Lineage: Bacteria; Pseudomonadati; Pseudomonadota; Gammaproteobacteria; Enterobacterales; Enterobacteriaceae
Description: partial 23S ribosomal RNA
Rfam family: Bacterial large subunit ribosomal RNA
Source: RNAcentral
UGAGGGGGGCUGCUCCUAGUACGAGAGGACCGGAGUGGACGCAUCACUGGUGUUCGGGUUGUCAUGCCAAUGGCACUGCCCGGUAGCUAAAUGCGGAAAAGGUAAGUGCUGAAAGCAUCUAAGCACGAAACUUGCCCCGAGAUGAGUCUUCCCUGAGACUUUGAGUCUCCUGAAGGAACGUUAAAGACGAUGACGUUGAUAGGCCGGGUGUGUAAGCGCAGCGAUGCGUUGAGCUAACCGGUACUAAUGAACCGUGAGGCUUAACCUUACAACGCCGAAGCUGUU